Bacillus rossius redtenbacheri is the source of this 4280-nucleotide long non-coding RNA. RefSeq lists it as uncharacterized. Lineage: Eukaryota; Metazoa; Arthropoda; Insecta; Phasmatodea; Bacillidae. The transcript is spliced from 3 exons. The record is from RefSeq and is a predicted model, not a curated record.
ACAUCAUUAUCAAUGGCAAAUAAGUAAAAAAAAAUUUUUUUUCUUUGGUGUUAUGUUAUAGGACUUCUCUGUUUCUCUUCUAAUAAUAAUUAUUUCUCGCUGGUGGCAGUAAGGACUGGCGUGAAUAAGAGUAGGCUUUGUACAUGAGAGCAAAACUACGUUCGGCCAGGCCAGUGGUAAAUGGGCGUAGGGACGGAAUAAUUGGAUCAAGACUGGGGAGGAGAAAAUCAACUCUCCACAUUUCACUGCUCAUAAAAUGUUUGGUUUGCAUUCGCGAGCGCAGAUGGUCCUCAGUGGUAGGUCUGACUGUAUCGUCGAACUACCAUACAUUUACAUACCUGCUGCAUCUAUGACUUUUAAACUCAAAAAAUUUCAAGGACUGAUGUAAUUAUUUUUGAACUCAAAAAUUUUGUCAUGUUUAGAAGUUCUGCAAAUAUAUUGAAAGACAAUUUGAAUGUGAAAAUUGUUAAAACAGAAUAGGUUGUCGCUAGUCAGUGUAAAUGUAUGUAUCAAUCAGGGGCAAACACACAGAUAAUAUCUUUCCCCCUCCCCCCCUGAAGUUAUUUUAUGUGUUUGUUUCUGGUGUACAGACAUUAGAAAGACACAUUUAUUAAUAAAUUUCCUGACAUGUAAUGUAAAAUAUGUAGCAAAUUAUGUUGGACAGCAUCCACCUCAAACAAAUUAAUAAACAGUACAAAUUAUUAUGCACUUUAAAGCUGAAGCUGAUAAAAUGGCCCUUGAGUUGUUAAGUAUAUUCCAAGCACUUUCAAGGUGUGUGGGAGUCCUGAACUCAGGUAAGGACAAAGAUUGUUUUUCAGAUUAUAUUGUAAUGUUAUAUAUGGUAUAUAAUGGUAUAUUAUAUUGUAAUAUUAAUAUUGUAAUGGUAAAAAUUUAUUAAUUUAAAUAUGAAAUUUGUUUGAGUGAUGAAUAAGAAAUUAAUUAAAGAUUUGUGCUUGGGGGGGUGGAACCCCUAACCCCCCCUCCCCUGUCUAAGCCCCUGAUCUUGAGAAGUUUUCAAAUUGUGUGGUUUUUUUUUUGAAGCUUUGCUCACUAUGAGCACCCAAGUAGGACUGCCCUUUAUAAUUACAGUUUUACAUUGCAUAGGAAUAUAUAUUAACAUUUUAUUUUUUUUACUUUUAAAGUGAAACUUCUUUACUGAGAAGGCUGCAAUUUUCAAGUUACUUAAAUGACACUCGCAUUAGGAAAAUACCUGCGUAGUUAGAUACGUAGUGGGGGAACCGGUAGGGCGUGAGAGUGCGUCAGCAGCGACGCCUGCGCUAGCAGUCGAAUGGGAAUAUGGCAAAAGGAGGGGAGGAUAUGUACGUAGCGUAGCAUGCUGUAUGCUAGUUGUAAUGGCUGGAAGGGGAAAGGUAGAAAUGAUGCAGCAGUGGUGCUAUUGAAGUAUCGCAACGCUGCUUGUGUUUGUCUACUCCUCAAUUUUCGUAAUUGCUUACGAUUAAUGCUACCAUUUUUUUUUUUUGAGAUCAUUCUUGCAUCCCUACUAUUCUCAGUUACCGUAUUACCUCUUGUUCAAUCAAAAGUUUCGCUUCUGUCACGUAGACUCCAUGCACAGACCUAUCAUUUUAAUCUCAUGUACAUACUUCCUUUUUUCAGUAAACUGGAUUUUAAAAAGUAACUAGGUACUGUGGAAACAAAAGACAGUUAAUAGAUAGAUAGAUAUUUUUUUACAGCUGCGUUUAUUUUGUGGAUGUGCGGUGGUAAUUCUUCAGCUUUUUUUUCCUUCUGUUAUAGAUUUUGCUAGUUAUUACUCCGUGUGAAUUUUCGUAAUAUGCCAUAUUUUGUCGAGUAUCUCGAAAAAUAAGAAAUUCGAGCCCCUGGGAAUCAUGCAACCCUUCCCCUUGCCCUGGACGGGCCCUUGUGUGAAUCCUACCUAUCUGUAGCAUUUCAUCUUAUUUUUACUUUAUUUUUAUUUGACAAAAGGGGUGAAAUGCUGCAGGUAGACGGGUGUGUGCACCAAGAUUGCCUAAAACACAGUAUGUCAGAUUUGCGAUAACCUUGGGUUAGUUUGUACAACGGCACACAUACGGAGAGACCCGAACCAAAUAUCGUAGUAGAAAACUACAAUAUUUGCUACGACAGUGUUGAUCUCUUUGAGCCAUACAAUCAAUAGAGGCCAAAUGAUUGGCUGGAUGGCUGCAGUGAUAGCCAUGUUUAUAUUCUAAAUACGUUAAAAUUGUUUCAAGUACAAGAACAUCUUUUUUAUAAUAUAACUUUGUCGUUUAUUUUUAUUAUAUAUAAAAAUUCUGCUCGUGCUAUGAUCUCGAAGGAUAAUCUAUUUUUUAAAAUGUAUUAAUAUUUCGUACCCUUGAAAUGCAAUCUCAUUGGUUAUCGGUUGCCAUUUGUUAUGUUUCAGGAGUUGUUUACACGAUCCUUCUCCGUUACCGUGCCGUCGUAGAACGGACAUAAGUUAUUUCUUUGUUAGUAGUAUGAUUAUCAUUUUGUAAAAACGAUCUAAUCCGGCACGUUAUGGACCAAGGCCGUGCCGAAUGAGCGAUUUUGCAGCAAUAGCGAACACCAAUGUACAUGUAGUUUCAACGGUAAAACCAAAGAAACUUUGAAAAAUAAUCUGCUACGUUUAUGUAAUCGAAGAGUUUGUUCGUUAAGAGGUUUUUUUUCCAUUCAAAUGUUGGCCGAUUUGUUAGUGAAACAUUGAUACAUAAUUUAUUUUUUAGCAGUAUGUUCAAAUGAAUCGAUAUUUUUGGAGGGCGUAAAUAACGUCUAUCAUCGCCAAAACGUGGCCAGCACGAAGUACAUUUUUAGAAACCUAUUGCAAAAUAAUCAAUGUUUUAUUCUUAAAAAUAAUUUUUAAUAGCAAUAUGUCUUCCAUAUUGAAAAAUACCACAGAAGGGCAUAGACAUAGAACAAUAAGGCACUGUUUGAAUGCAAGGGAGAUUAUACUAGUGAGCGUGGGUGGAGUAUUAUACCAGAUAAUCGAUCGGUGCCGGAUUACAGAAUAAUCCCAACGUAAUAGUGUUGGAUGAAAGGGCGUCGACUGCAUUACGAAUAUGUCUUAUUUUAUAUAGUAAUUUUCACUUGAUUUACAAGUUUCUAUGUAUUCAAGACGGAAUUUUAAAAACGCGCCUGAGUUUGUUAAAUAAUCAGUUUUUUUUAACUACUUCCUCCCAGAAAAAAAGGGCCACAAUAAUAAAUCAAUACAAAUAUUAGUCAUACUUUUGAACGUUUCUCCAACAAUACUUAUUUUUUCACUCAUCCAUGUAUUAUUUCGCGCCACCAAUACAAAUCCUAGAUAGGUACUGUGUUCUGGCCUCUGACUGGCUAGUCACGAUCAACAUUAAAGUUAAUUCUACUAGUAGAACUAACCUUAACAACAUCAAACGCAUGGAUUAUUUUACAAAAAAAAAAAAAAAAAUUCAAGUACCCUUUGAAUUUAAUGAACUGUCGUAAGCAUUUGUAUCGUGUGUCUUUUGAAUAAACGUCAUUCAGCACACUUUUGCCUACACUGCCCUUCAAGGGAAGCCUUCAUUUCACAGACGAAAGAGCCACACCCGAAGUACCCCGAAGUUCAUGCUCGCUUUUUUGAUUUUACAGUAUCUUUAAUGUAGCUAUCCUAACCAAAUCAACCGUCCACAAUGUUUUAAAGUAUUUAUAAUGUAGCUAACGUAACCUAAUUGACCAUUAGUUAUCAUGAGUUACAAUGAACAAAAACAAAAAAAACCGAAGAUGCACGAUCGGGCGUUUGGCUCUCCCGCCUGUGAAAAUAAUGGCUUCCCGCCCUUCAAGGCUUCCUUCCAAGGAGUAUGGUCCCUUCACACACUUCGCUAUGCGUGCGUGUCUGGCUGCAAGUCUGGCUGCAGCGCGCAAGCUAGGGAAAAAAAAAAAAAAAAUGUUAUCGAACUCCUGCGGCACGUGCCGCUACAGUGUUUCCAUGGCAACCCGUCGACCAAUACCAACAGGUUCAUAAAUAUAUAUAGUUAAAUUGGGCAUCGGACAGCGGCCUUUUAUGUAAAUAUUUUUACCUCCGGCGAGUGAUGUGGUGGCAUGGCUCAAAGUAAUGUAGGCUCUUUUUGUCAAAUGUUCAACGAUGAUACCUGGUUUUGGACUAUUUAUGGCAUCAGGCUACAGCUGCAACAGUCCCCAACUGUCAGGACUGAUGGUGCUGCUGUGUGUAGGCGGAGUGGUCGUCUGUCAGCUGACGUGCCCAGAAAUGACGGUGCGGGGAGUGCGUGGGAGGCGGCACAGGGCGAGACCCUGGGGACGGCCUGGACCGGUGCGGGGGUGUGCCGGGGGGCAGACCUCUG